Molecule: long non-coding RNA, 336 nt
Organism: Labeo rohita (rohu)
Lineage: Eukaryota; Metazoa; Chordata; Actinopteri; Cypriniformes; Cyprinidae
Exons: 4
Source: RefSeq, a predicted model, not a curated record
CAGGUGUUUCUACAGCACAAGAUCGUCUGAACUAUUGCAAGUCAUGAUGAGCAUCUGAUCGUCUUCAGAGACACAAAGAUCUCAGUGUUGAUCAGUUUAUCUGCAGUAUGUCAGAGGAGCGAGGAAAGGACUCUCCGUCUGAGAUGAGUCUCUCACAGAAACAGAGUGUAAGAUCAGACUCACAUGUGUCCAGCUCUGUGUCUGUGAAGAGUGACUGGUCAAAGAGGUGAACCACCGAACUUCAGUGAGAAAAAAACAUCAUCUACCAAAAGUGUAAGAUCAGACUCACAUGUGUCCAGCUCUGUGUCUGUGAAGAGUGACUGGUCAAAAGAUGAA